CGAGCCGCGCUUGGAGAGGGCAGAGUCGAGCCAGUAGAGAGACGGACUAGACUAGACCAGAUCUCGUAGCGGGGUCUCCGGCCGCCUCCCCCUCCCGGGGCCAGCACGCCCUGCCGUCCGCCGGCGGCCUGCUCGGUCGUCGGUGAGUACGUGCAGCGGCCCGAAGAGGCGCGUGCUCGCUCCAAGGGCGAAGGGGGACGCGCCGGAUCUCGCGGGGCAAGUGCGCCAGCGACCUGAGGUACCUUGGUAUGGAAUGAAGUGAAGAGCGCAGAGUAUCUUGGUCUUGCUAAUCAAUGCAUCAUAUUAUGUGCGCAAUAAGAUUUUGCUAUGCUUUCACCGUCGAUGCCCACUGGUUGGAUCAUGCUUCUGUUUAUGAGCUCAUUGAAGUAACUCUCUCGUAGCUCAAAUGGGCCAAUUCCUCGUUUGCGUGGCACACAAAACCUUCAGCUAUCCAUCUCCAUAUCAGUUGGUCUCUCUUAAUUUUGUAAUCUUCUGGAAAUAUGCUUAAGUAUAAUAAAUGAUGUGAAGGUAGAUCAUAGAACAUCAACACAAAUCUUAAUCUAAAACAAGAUGGUGUACCCUAGUUUUUGUGAUUUAACACAAAUAGGAGGGCACCCAUGCACCAAUACCAUGAAAAGCAGCAAAGAAAAUGAGUAAAAGAGGCACCUGACUUGUAGAUUAUACAAGAGUGAUGAUCUGGAAGUCAACCCUCUUUUACCAGUAGUUUGAUCUACCUUCUCAUCUAUAGGAUUAGUUAUUAUGUCUAAGCAUGUUUUUAGAAGAUUAGAAGAUUAAGCAAGCUCAUUCGAUAUGUAAGGUGGAUAGUUUGAGGUUUUGUUUAUCAUGAAAACCAAGGGAUUAGCAAGUUUGAGCUCGGUGGUAGAAUUGCUCAAUGAGAUCGUGAAUAGGAGCAUGAUUCAACCAAUUGACAUCAAUGUUGAUAAAGGCAUGGAAAAAUCUUAUCGUAUACAUGAUAUGGUGAUUGAUUUCAUAUGCUGAAGAAAAACACUUCUGUGGCACGGAGUGAAAGCGGUCUAUCCAAAGGCAAGAUGUGAAGAUUAUCCAUCUGAAAGAGCAUGACAGGUGAAAUUUCUGAUUGCCAUCAGUAGGAGGAUUGGCACAAGUGAGGCCUUGCAAUAUCCUUGCUGAAGCUACUUGUGUUCAGCGUUUGAGGAUAUUGAUCGGAGGCUGAGAGUCCAGAAAACUGCAUUUGCCUUGGUGUUUGAUUGUCAUUCUUCUGUAACAGAGAACCGAGAACUGAGAGUAAACGUUGGGAUUUUUCCAUCUACUCGUUGAAUGAAAUUAUGGCAGUAAUGCUUUGAUUUUGACAUGAUUCUUUUUCGGGAAAAUGGAGGCAUUCCAUUUAUUUAUAUUAAUGAAGGAGCCAGAAGAGAGCCGGUAAAGAUGGAACAGAAGCUCGUGACAUGAUAUCCCCCGAUUAAUUUAUGAUGUCCCUAGAAAUUCUAGUGUUCCUCUUAUCCAAAGCCAAUUCCGCUGUGAAAACUCUAUUUUACACGAUUUUAUGGUGCUAGAAAGUACUGCUCCAGUUUUGAAUUAUAAGAUGUUUUAAUUUUUUGAAUCGAAUGUACAUAAACAUGUUUUAGUGUGAUUGUUUAUUUAUUUCAGUCCGUAUGUAGUCUAUAUUGAAAUGUCCAAAACGUCUCGCGUUAACAUUGCACAUAACGUGGUAAAUAUUACAUUUCAUGUGGUUGUGUGUGCUUCUGUACUUGGAGUAACCGAGCCGUUCAUAUUAAUGCAUGUCUUCUCACGUGGCAUUGCAGGUAGCAGGAGCACAUGGACUCCACGGUGCGAGCCUCCAGCUCCCCUGCUUCUAGUCCGACCAAGACAUAGGUUCAAGGACGAGAACGGCGAUGGCGCGGACGGGCUCGUGCGCUCCUGCUAGCUGGCGCGAACAGAGCGAUGACGCGUUGGGUACUGUAUUAAAUGCGGUUGUAUGUAUACAGCGUCAUUACGUACUUUCGCAAACUACGUGCGGAAACGGGGACGUCCAACAUAACCGAUCUGUCUUCUCCCCGGUGGUGCCUGGCGCGGUAGACGAAUUUGAAACUGCAUGGGAGCAGCUUAUUGAGACUGCAUGUGUGCGUACGAGUUCAGAGAUGUCUGCAGCUCAGUCGAUCGGGUACUCUGCUGGGCAGGUGUCUUC
Long non-coding RNA from Aegilops tauschii subsp. strangulata, 2164 nucleotides. RefSeq lists it as uncharacterized. The record is from RefSeq and is a predicted model, not a curated record. NCBI's taxonomy places the organism in Eukaryota, Viridiplantae, Streptophyta, Magnoliopsida, Poales, Poaceae.